RNAcentral lists this ribosomal RNA (468 nucleotides) under uncultured bacterium. RNAcentral's name for it is "partial 16S ribosomal RNA". It matches the Rfam family "Bacterial small subunit ribosomal RNA", at positions 28 to 507 of the family's 1533-position model. The record is from RNAcentral.
GACGAACGCUGGCGGCGUGCUUAACACAUGCAAGUCGAACGGAAAGGCCCUGCUUUUGUGGGGUGCUCGAGUGGCGAACGGGUGAGUAACACGUGAGUAACCUGCCCUUGACUUUGGGAUAACUUCAGGAAACUGGGGCUAAUACCGGAUAGGAGCUCCUGCUGCAUGGUGGGGGUUGGAAAGUUUCGGCGGUUGGGGAUGGACUCGCGGCUUAUCAGCUUGUUGGAGGGGUAGUGGCUUACCAAGGCUUUGACGGGUAGCCGGCCUGAGAGGGUGACCGGCCACAUUGGGACUGAGAUACGGCCCAGACUCCUACGGGAGGCAGCAGUGGGGAAUAUUGCACAAUGGGCGGAAGCCUGAUGCAGCAACGCCGCGUGCGGGAUGACGGCCUUCGGGUUGUAAACCGCUUUCGCCUGUGACGAAGCGUGAGUGACGGUAAUGGGUAAAGAAGCACCGGCUAACUACGUG